CGAAAUAGGAAUUGAGGGAGUCGGGGAGAGAGCCAAGAGGAGCUGGUGUACACAGAGCCUGAGGCCUGCCUCGCGCAGAGUGGCUUGGCAGAGGCGCUGAUCUCCCCUCACUUUCCCAGUCACCCUCACAUGACGGCUGGUUUCAUAACCGCUCAUCAGCUGCCCCGGAAGUCAGGAGUCCUUGACCGGGAGGUGUUUGACCCUUUCCUGUCGGAGGCCUUCCUGGGCUCCGGGGACUCCAGAGGAGGUCUGGGCCGGCCGCGUGGCAGGAGGCUCACUCCCUCAGCCACCUUAGGAGGAAAUGUUCUCUUCCGGGGCUUGCCCUCCCAAACGGCCCUGGUUCUGCCAGUCUUCUUUGUAACCCUGGGGCCCAGCCCAGGGCCCGGCACACAGUUGGUGCUAAAUAAAUGCUUGGCUCAUUGUUGUAGGGCAGGCGUAGAGCCCUCUAGGUGUGUGUGGCCCCGCGGGGAGGGCUGGGACUUCCUCCGACUCCCGCCUUCUGUAGUACUUAGCACAGUGGCCACAGAGCCACUCUAAGCCUCACCGAGGGGGCGUGACUGCCCAAGGUCACCGCUAGGAAGGGGCUGAGGUGAGCUUCGAACCGCAUUCUAUCGGCUCCCUCUGGACCGUGUGCGGAUCACGUGAGGGGCAGCAGGCGCAGGCGCAGGCGCAGUCCACACCGCUUGGUACUUGUUGAAGGUGGAGAGUCAGAACUACUGUAGCUGGAUGACCUUCGUUGAAUAAAGCUGCAAAGCCAAGUGAGGAAAGAACUCGACUUGACCAGAACUUCUGGGGUAGCUGCAAAGGGUCUGGCGGAGAUUCGGGCUGGGCCAGUAUCUUACACCAAACGCCACAAUAAAUUCAAAAUGGCCGGGGGCGACUCGGGAAUUACCCGGAUACUUGCCUGAAGCCUACAGAGCAAAUCCUGAAAAAUGAGAAGCGCCCCGUUCCUUCCUUCCAUGCCCUUCACAGCUACGGGGAGAGUAAUUGAAGGUGCUGAGCGCGGAGGGAGGGAAAGAAGAGGUCGUAGGACAAAGCAGCCCCAGGUUCCACUUGUGUUAGGGGGUGGAAAGUGGGUGCUCAUUCAGGAAGACAGCCUGAGAAGGAGUGGCCAGACAGUAGGAAGGGAACAGAGAGAGCCCGUUACCAAAGAUUUAAAGGGUGAGGCCUCAGAGAAGAGGCUGACACAGAUACUGGGCCCGCUCCUCCCUCGGGACAAGGCCUAGGGCUGCUGCUUCUCCGUGUCCCCAAACACUUGUCUUGGACGCGUGGGGGAAGGAGUCCAAACCAAAAUCCAGAAUAAUCGGAGUUUUUCACAGAUGGUGACUGCCUAUCUUCCCACAACCCUGCUGAUGCUUGCUGCUCCCAUCAUUCGUCACCUUGGCCAGCCAGAUAACUGAUCAUUGGAUAUUUGCUAAGCACCUACUAUGUGUUUACCUGGACAAGGAACAAACGAACAAGUUUCUCUCCCCAGAAGCUCAUGUUUUACUAACAGCAUUGGUGAAACCUCAGAGCUGCUCUGAUUUGCAUUUCUCUCUCUCUCAUCCCUAUUUGGAGCUUGUUUUCAUGAGGCUAUUCAUAGUUUGCCACCUUCUUUUUGAGACUUGUUUGUUCAUCUUCUCUGACCCCUUUAAACCCCCUGGGGGGAUCCCCCUUUGCUACUGACCCCCAGGGUUGUGACAGGAAAGAGUGGAUUGGGGUUGUGAAGGGUCCCAGGGGAACCAAGCCUGCUGCUGAUUCAGGGCCAUUCAGGGACUCAAACACCUGCUCUCCUGCCAAGGAAGGCCUUCCUGCCUCAGAAAUCCAGCUGACUGACCCUAGUCCCCCUUCACUUUGAUCAUAUGGUCACAAACCAAGGGUCUGACUCAUACCUUCCUGGUGAACUCAUUCUCUUCUGAAUGGCCAGUGACAGAACCCCUCUCCCCUUGAUAAGCCUCAGGAGAGCUGCCAUGUUUCCCAGAGGCUUCUCUUUGCAGGCUAAACAUCUCUGGAUCCUGGUGCCAGUGGGGCAGAGCCCAGUCUGGGGCCAGCAUCAGGGCUCAAAGAAUUAUGGCUUUUCUGGAGGGAACCUUGGCUCUGCCCGGCACCCAUUGGCUUCUGAGGGUUGACAGUCACUUGAGCCCUCAGGGCCUCAGUUUUCUCCUCUGAGCCAAAGGCCUGUGUUCUGGGCCCACAGUAGGUAUGCUGUGGUGGAAGGCUGGGUGAUAUCAGGGAGGAGCUGAGAGAAGACUUAUUAUUAGCUGUAUUCUGCCCGUGAUCUCAGAGCCAGAUACGGGCACUGACGCUGAGCGAGGAUCCCACUCAGGGAGAUGAGCACGCCCCCGGCCUUCUUUUAACACCUCCUUUUAGAGCCUGAGUCAGUGAACAGAGCCGGGGUCUGGGCGCCCUGCUCCUACCCAAGUUAUUUCAGGAACCUCCUCCUCCUCCUCCCUUCAACCCUCAGAAUCCAUCUCUCAUCACUGACACCCCCAAGGAAAAAUGGAUCUCCUUAUCAGGCCAAUGGGGAAACUGAGGCUUCCCUAAGAGCCUCCAAUGUAGAGGUGACAGAAGGGGGCAACACAGGAGAAUGCGAAGUCUGGAUCUGAAUCUCAGCUUUGCCCUUGCAGCUUGUAAAAAUUAAAAUAUAAUAUUUUUAUUAUUAGAUAAGCUUUAUGUGACCUUGGAUGAGUCAUUCCCUGCCCCCUUUUCUGAAAUGCUGGCUUCAGUUUCCCAAUGUGUAAAAUGUCCAAAAGUGACCUCUACGGGCCCUUCCAGUCCACCGCUCCCUUGGCCAGAGCUUGGGGGACAGCGGUGGCUUCGGGUGACUGCCUCCCUCCCUGGUACCUUUGGGUCCUAGCUCAUCCCCUAUGGGUCACGGGACUGGGACUGAAAGAGGAGCUGGGAGGUGACCUUUACUGGGGUUCGCCGGCCCUGAGAUAUGUGUCUUGGGCAGGAGAGAGAGGACUCAGCUUCCCCCGGGGUUGGUCUUGCCCCAGCUCCAGUUACUGCUGAGUCCAAUGAGCGGUCAUUGACCCCAUGUUGGGCCUCAUUUCCAUCCCAUUUCUCUGCCCUGAUGUCUCGGGACCUUCUGCCUCAUCCCCAGGCCUGGGAUCGGAGACUGCAGGGCACAGCGGGUUGUUCUUAUUAUACAGCUUGGGAAACUGGGGUUCAGAGAGGGACAGGGCUUCAUCCAGGGUCCUAUAGGAAAGGAAUGGCCCACAGAGCCUCGGCUCAGAUGGGGAGGUGGGCUUCUCGGCCGGAGCAUGGGUGUUGGAAUGAGCUGCUUUGGUAGGGAGUGGGCCCAGGACCAUCAGGUGUAUGGGGAGCCACAGAGGUCUCAGAGCACCAACAGCCAGUCUGCAGCACUUACAUUUAACGCCCUG
Monodelphis domestica (gray short-tailed opossum) is the source of this 3362-nucleotide long non-coding RNA. RefSeq lists it as uncharacterized. Lineage: Eukaryota; Metazoa; Chordata; Mammalia; Didelphimorphia; Didelphidae. The record is from RefSeq and is a predicted model, not a curated record.